AGCAGCCAGUCCUGCAGCUCCUGCAGGUCCCGCCGUUCCUCCUGCGGCGGCCCCUUUAAAGACUGAGCCAGCGGCAAAACCGACAACAGCACCACAAGCGCCAGCAGGUGCAGCAGCAGCCAAGCCAGCACCGGGAGCUCCCACCGUUCCUCCUGCGGCAGCCCCUUUAACAACUCAACCAACACCAAAACCAACGGAACCACAACCUUCAGCAACUACACCAGGAGCA
Molecule: non-coding RNA, 229 nt
Organism: Pantherophis guttatus
Lineage: Eukaryota; Metazoa; Chordata; Lepidosauria; Squamata; Colubridae
Source: RefSeq, a predicted model, not a curated record